This 279-nucleotide ribosomal RNA is filed under the name uncultured bacterium. Its description in RNAcentral is "partial 16S ribosomal RNA". It matches the Rfam family "Bacterial small subunit ribosomal RNA", at positions 506 to 784 of the family's 1533-position model. The record is from RNAcentral.
UGCCAGCCGCCGCGGUAACACGGGGGGCGCAAGCGUUAUUCGGAAUUAUUGGGCGUAAAGGGCGCGUAGGCGGAUUAGUAAGUUAGGGGUGAAAUCCCGGGGCUCAACCCCGGAACUGCCUCUAAUACUGCUAGUCUUGAGUUCGAGAGAGGUGAGUGGAAUUCCGAGUGUAGAGGUGAAAUUCGUAGAUAUUCGGAGGAACACCAGUGGCGAAGGCGGCUCACUGGCUCGAUACUGACGCUGAGGUGCGAAAGCGUGGGGAGCAAACAGGAUUAGAUA